UCCCGGGCGGCAAUGCCUUGCAAUUAGGC
This 29-nucleotide non-coding RNA is filed under the name Bombyx mori (domestic silkworm). The record is from RNAcentral. Lineage: Eukaryota; Metazoa; Arthropoda; Insecta; Lepidoptera; Bombycidae.